CAGUCGCCACGGUAAGACAGAGGAUGCAAGCGUUAUCCGGAAUGAUUGGGCGUAAAGCGUCUGUAGGUGGCUUUUCAAGUCCGCCGUCAAAUCCCAGAGCUCAACCCUGGACAGGCGGUGGAAACUACCAAGCUGGAGUACGGUAGGGGCAGAGGGAAUCUCCGGUGGAGCGGUGAAAUGCGUUGAGAUCGGAAAGAACACCAACGGCGAAAACACUCUGCUGGGCCGACACUGACACUGUGAGACGAAAGCUAGGGGAGCAAAUGGGAUUAGAUCCCCAGUAGUCCCUGUCUCUUAUACA
Molecule: ribosomal RNA, 301 nt
Filed under: uncultured bacterium
Lineage: Bacteria
Description: partial 16S ribosomal RNA
Rfam family: Bacterial small subunit ribosomal RNA
Source: RNAcentral